This 459-nucleotide ribosomal RNA is filed under the name uncultured bacterium. RNAcentral describes it as "partial 16S ribosomal RNA". It matches the Rfam family "Bacterial small subunit ribosomal RNA", at positions 338 to 795 of the family's 1533-position model. The record is from RNAcentral.
CCUACGGGAGGCAGCAGUGAGGAAUAUUGGUCAAUGGCCGGAAGGCUGAACCAGCCAAGCCGCGUGAAGGACGAAGGUGCCAAGCAUUGUAAACUUCUUUUGUCAAGGGACAAAAUCAGGCUCGAGAGCCUGACCGAGGGUACUUGAAGAAAAAGCAUCGGCUAACUCCGUGCCAGCAGCCGCGGUAAUACGGAGGAUGCGAGCGUUAUCCGGAUUUCUUGGGUUUAAAGGUUGCGUAGGCGGGCUGUUAAGUCAGCGGUAAAAGCCCGGGGCUCAACCCCGGGGAGCCGUUGAAACUGGCUGUCGUGAGAGGGCGAGAGGUAUGCGGAAUGCGCAGUGUAGCGGUGAAAUGCUUAGAUAUUGCGCAGAACUCCGAGUGCGAAGGCAGCAUACCGGCGGCGAUCUGACGCUGAGGCACGAAAGCGUGGGUAUCGAACAGGAUUAGAUACACGAGUAGUC